GGCUGGGUCCUAUGCAACAUCGAACCAGUGAACCCCGUCAGGCCCGGAAGGGAGCAGCGGCAACUAGGAUUCAUGUGUGCCGUAGGGUGCCUGGCCACU
This 99-nucleotide signal recognition particle RNA is filed under the name Verrucomicrobia bacterium CG1_02_43_26. RNAcentral's name for it is "signal recognition particle sRNA small type". It matches the Rfam family "Bacterial small signal recognition particle RNA". From Rfam's summary of the family: The signal recognition particle (SRP) is a universally conserved ribonucleoprotein involved in the co-translational targeting of proteins to membranes. Archaeal SRP consists of a 7S RNA and homologues of the eukaryotic SRP19 and SRP54 proteins. The record is from RNAcentral. Lineage: Bacteria; Pseudomonadati; Verrucomicrobiota. RNAcentral also lists the same sequence under 4 other names.